RNAcentral lists this unclassified non-coding RNA (1356 nucleotides) under Zea mays. RNAcentral's name for it is "misc RNA Zm00001eb176450". The record is from RNAcentral. Lineage: Eukaryota; Viridiplantae; Streptophyta; Magnoliopsida; Poales; Poaceae.
CUUGGAAUCUUGUCUGUCUAACUGGGAUUGGACGACCAAGGUCAUAUCCCCUUACCCCAGCCUAAGCCGCGGUGGUGCACAUGCAUCCCAUGGCGGUGCGCGCCGGUGAGCAGGCGAACUGCCCACCCCGGUGCCCGAUUUUGAACGAGGAUGGGUCCUACGCAUGGAGGCGACCUAAGUGAAUGUAGCAGAGGUCUACUUACCACGAAUUACAGAGAUAGUUCUUCCCAUGGUGUGGUGCGGUACAUUGGUGGGUUUGACAUUCUGGCGAGCAAUCUUGGUGACUCCAAGGGGCUUCACUCACGGAGCAGAAACGGAACGGUGACACCAGUUUCCUUCCCUUCUAUUUGGCGUUCAAAAGGAGUUUAGGGGCGUGUUCGGUUGGCUGCAAGCCGACACUGUUGCAGCUGUUUGGACUGCUGCAGCUGCAAUCCAUAGAGAGAAAAAUACUGUAGAAGCCGCAGCCGCAGCCGGAUUGCAGCCGCAGCAAGCCGCAGCGAACAAGCUGUAGGUUUCUUGUGUCUUGCGGUCUGAAAUGGAGCUUCCGUCAGAAAAAUCAAUAUGCUGUCAUGACGAGACGAGACUUGAACAGCUCCUCUCCAGGCUGGCCCAAAACAAGUUCAGCCUGGCCCAUACGAAGGUUUCGGCAGCCUGGGCUUUGUCUGACGAAAGCUUUCGGUGCAUCUGGAGCAGUUACUCAUGGAUUUGUGGCUCUGCGAUGCAUCGCCAGCCUUCCUCCAUAUUGCUGGCCAUCGCCGACCGACCUCUACACCAUGGCAGCCAAGCUCCUUCACCCUGGUUCUCCUCCUCGCCGGUCGAUCUCCGGAGCGUAGUGGUGGCUGAGGGCCUCCGCGCCACUGCAUCUGACUGCCUCCGCGUUGUGGCUCCUCCACGGCCAGAUCUCCGCGUCGCCGUAGCCAAGGUCGUCCGUGCUGGUCUUCUUCCUCUCCGGCGGAGCUCCGCAGUGAUAGCAAAGGGUCUCCGCUCCUCCGUGCUGGUCUUCCUCCCUGGUCGAGCUUCGGCGUGCAGUGGCAGCCGAGGUCCUCCACGCUGAUGGUCAUCCCAUGGCGACCUGUUGCUUGUUGUCGCAGCCGAGCUCCAUCUAUGGCGUGUUCGUUGGAGACGAGGACAACCCAUGCGACAGCUACUCCCCGACUGUGUCACUCGCUUCGCUCGGAUGGAUAGCGGAUGAACAGAGAACUCUAGAUUUACCGGAUGUCGUGCUUUCUCUAUAUUUUAGUGGACGGUUUAGCGCUCCUUGCGCGACCCGUAACAGACGUUUGUGUCCGCUACAUUUACCGGAGGCUUUACCGGCCUUUGCUGGAGAUAACCUUAGAAUGGAAAAGCCAUGUCUCG